This 379-nucleotide long non-coding RNA is filed under the name Vulpes vulpes (red fox). RNAcentral's name for it is "lncRNA (ENSVVUG00000025889.1)". Lineage: Eukaryota; Metazoa; Chordata; Mammalia; Carnivora; Canidae. The record is from RNAcentral.
UGGUAACCAAGUGGUAUUACUAAUUUUUAAAUUAAGCUUAUAAUUUUGACUUUCUUCAUAGAGUUAGAGAUGAAGAUGAAAAUAAAUUUAUAUCACCAACUUUAUGAGCUCAGGAAUCUAGGUGAAGAUUACAAAUCAUCACCUAUGCUUAGACCUACCUCUAAAGUGGACCUUUUAAAAUCCUCACCUCCCAGUAAAUGGAGGGCUUUAUUCUGAAGAUUCCAAGGUAUUUCCAUGAAAUGAGUGCCAUGAUCUAGAAGAAAGGUCUGCCACAGGUGAGGAUGUGGGAAUAUACCUGUGUCAGAACUUUGAUUAUGAAAUGAGCCAUCAGUGUUCUGUCCUUGCUGAAGAUUUUUAUCAUAAACUUGAAAUGUCCAUA